Molecule: long non-coding RNA, 1050 nt
Filed under: Vitis vinifera (wine grape)
Lineage: Eukaryota; Viridiplantae; Streptophyta; Magnoliopsida; Vitales; Vitaceae
Description: long non-coding RNA (VVIN_LNC001769)
Source: RNAcentral
GGAAUACUUAAGGUAAAUAUAAUAAUAGUAAUAAAAGAAAUUUCAUGGGAAUGAUAUAAGAUAUCACUAGAGACACAGGGCCCCUCGAAUAUUAUCUUUAUUAGUACUACUACAGUUUAAAUUGCCCCUCGUGAACCACACCAUCUUCACGUUAACAAGUGAGGCCAGAAUGCAGUGCAGUCAUCAAAAGUUGUGUGCAUUUGGAUAAAGAGAAAUGAGGCAGACGAUGCUGAAAUGGGCUGCAGCUCCUGGUAGUUCAUACCAAGAGGGUCAUCUUCACUACCCCUCGGAAGAUGGUAGCUACGCCCUGCAAGGCAAGAUCCUGCUGCUUGUUGUUGUCGCUGCUUUUAGUCUCUAUCUUCUGGCCAUUGUGGUGUUUUUGCCUUUUCUUAGACGGGGGGGCGGCAGUGAUAAAUCAGACGACGAGGUUGGUAUUUGCUAAUCAUGAGCUGAUUCCGUUUCAUGGUUGGCUUUUCCUUUUUCUUUUUUGUUUGUUUGGGUGAUCCUCUAUGGGAUGCUCAAAUGGUGGGUUUUUUUUCCUGGGAAUUCUGGGAAAAGCUUUUCUGACUUACGAAUUCUGCAGAAGAAUUUAAUCACCAGCCAUUUUUAUUUGUUUAUUUUUCUCAGGUGAGCAAUGUAAGGUCCUUUUGAGGAUGAGAUCUCUUCGAUUAGCAAUAAAUACCUCCAGCACUGGGCAUGUGUAGAAGAAAAUAGAUGAUUACGUGAAAGAAUUUUAUUCAGUACUCUGGGGAAUGGUUGUAGAAGAAUGGUUAAGGCCAUUGUGGGAGUGACGAAUAUUUCAUCACAAAGAAGAUUUCUUCCAUUUCAAUAAAAACGGACAUACAACUCCUCAUUAACGAACUUCCACACAAUUUAGACGAGUGAAAAUAUGUUAGUAGUACUUAAAAUGGAAGUCUUAUCAUUUUAGAAUACAAAGCAAAAGAAUAUGGUAGAGAGAUUAUACCACAUGAGCUUUAACAUGAGAUCGAAGAAAGAAGUUGAAGGAAUCACUCGUAAAAGUUUCACCAUUGCACCCUUAAAUCUUAAAAC